This 341-nucleotide RNase P RNA is filed under the name Candidatus Gallipaludibacter merdavium. RNAcentral describes it as "Bacterial RNase P class A". It matches the Rfam family "Bacterial RNase P class A". Rfam says of the family: Ribonuclease P (RNase P) is a ubiquitous endoribonuclease, found in archaea, bacteria and eukarya as well as chloroplasts and mitochondria. Its best characterised activity is the generation of mature 5'-ends of tRNAs by cleaving the 5'-leader elements of precursor-tRNAs. Lineage: Bacteria; Pseudomonadati; Bacteroidota; Bacteroidia; Bacteroidales. The record is from RNAcentral.
UAGGCUGGUCUGUCGCCUCAGCAAUGGGGAGGAAAGUCCGGGCAACGCAGGACACCAUAUUUCCUAACGGGAAGCCGCUCGCGAGGGUGGAGUAGCGUAACAGAGAAUAACCGCCUCUUAGGGAGGUAAGGGUGAAAAGGUGGGGUAAGAGCCCACCGGUAGGUUUGGCAACAAAUCUAGCCGUACGCCUUAUGGGUUGCAAGAUCAAGUAAACCGACGUCUGAGGGCUGUCCGUCCGAGUCGGAGGGUAGAUUGCUACAGGUGGCUGGUGACAGUCAUUGGAGAUAAAUGACAGACGUUUCGCAAUGCGGAAUACAGAACCCGGCUUAUAGGUCUGCUGC